GAUGAACGCUGGCGGCGUGCCUAAUACAUGCAAGUCGAGCGAACAGACGAGGAGCUUGCUCCUCUGACGUUAGCGGCGGACGGGUGAGUAACACGUGGAUAACCUACCUAUAAGACUGGGAUAACCUCGGGAAACCGGAGCUAAUACCGGAUAAUAUAUUGAACCGCAUGGUUCAAUAGUGAAAGACGGUUUUGCUGUCACUUAUAGAUGGAUCCGCGCCGCAUUAGCUAGUUGGUAAGGUAACGGCUUACCAAGGCAACGAUGCGUAGCCGACCUGAGAGGGUGAUCGGCCUCACUGGAACUGAGACACGGUCCAGACUCCUACGGGAGGCAGCAGUAGGGAAUCUUCCGCAAUGGGCGAAAGCCUGACGGAGCAACGCCGCGUGAGUGAUGAAGGUCUUCGGAUCGUAAAACUCUGUUAUUAGGGAAGAACAAAUGUGUAAGUAACUAUGCACGUCUUGACGGUACCUAAUCAGAAAGCCACGGCUAACUACGUG
This 497-nucleotide ribosomal RNA is filed under the name uncultured bacterium. RNAcentral describes it as "partial 16S ribosomal RNA". It matches the Rfam family "Bacterial small subunit ribosomal RNA", at positions 28 to 507 of the family's 1533-position model. The record is from RNAcentral.